This 308-nucleotide unclassified non-coding RNA is filed under the name plant metagenome. RNAcentral's name for it is "partial contains 5.8S ribosomal RNA, internal transcribed spacer 2, and large subunit ribosomal RNA". The stretch from base 1 to 104 matches the Rfam family "5.8S ribosomal RNA", at positions 51 to 154 of the family's 154-position model. The record is from RNAcentral.
AAAUGCGAUAAGUAGUGUGAAUUGCAGAAUUCAGUGAAUCAUCGAAUCUUUGAACGCACAUUGCGCCCCUUGGUAUUUCAUGGGGCAUGCCUGUUCGAGCGUCAUUUGUACCCUCAAGCUCUGCUUGGUGUUGGGUGUUUGUCCCGUCUCCGCGCGUGGACUCGCCCCAAAGUGAUUGGCAGCCGGCGUACUGGUCCCGGAGCGCAGCACACGUCGCGCAAACGAGUGCCUUGGUACGGCGGCGUCCAUAAGCCCCUCUCUCACGCUCUUGACCUCGGAUCAGGUAGGGAUACCCGCUGAACUUAAGC